GAUGAACGCUGGCGGCGUGCCUAAUACAUGCAAGUCGAGCGAACGGACGAGAAGCUUGCUUUUCUGAUGUUAGCGGCGGACGGGUGAGUAACACGUGGAUAACCUACCUAUAAGACUGGGAUAACUUCGGGAAACCGGAGCUAAUACCGGAUAAUAUUUUGAACCGCAUGGUUCAAAAGUGAAAGACGGUCUUGCUGUCACUUAUAGAUGGUUCCGCGCUGCAUUAGCUAGUUGGUAAGGUAACGGCUUACCAAGGCAACGAUGCAUAGCCGACCUGAGAGGAUGAUCAGCCACACUGGAACUGAGACACGGUCCAGACUCCUACGGGAGGCAGCAGUGGGGAAUCUUCCGCAAUGGGCGAAAGCCUGAUGGAGCAACGCCGCGUGAGUGAUGAAGGUCUUCGGAUCGUAAAGCACUGUUAUUAGGGAGGAACGGAUGUGUAUUAAAACCUGCACGUCUUGACGGUACCUAAUGAGAAAGCCACGGCUAACUACGUG
This 497-nucleotide ribosomal RNA is filed under the name uncultured bacterium. RNAcentral's name for it is "partial 16S ribosomal RNA". It matches the Rfam family "Bacterial small subunit ribosomal RNA", at positions 28 to 507 of the family's 1533-position model. The record is from RNAcentral.